UACGUAGGGUGCGAGCGUUAAUCGGAAUUACUGGGCGUAAAGCGUGCGCAGGCGGUUUUGUAAGUCUGUCGUGAAAGCCCCGGGCUCAACCUGGGAAUUGCGAUGGAGACUGCAAGGCUAGAAUCUGGCAGAGGGGGGUAGAAUUCCACGUGUAGCAGUGAAAUGCGUAGAGAUGUGGAGGAACACCGAUGGCGAAGGCAGCCCCCUGGGUCAAGAUUGACGCUCUGCACGAAAGCGUGGGGAGCAAACAGGAUUAGAGUAACCCUGGCAU
RNAcentral lists this ribosomal RNA (271 nucleotides) under uncultured bacterium. RNAcentral describes it as "partial 16S ribosomal RNA". It matches the Rfam family "Bacterial small subunit ribosomal RNA", at positions 524 to 793 of the family's 1533-position model. The record is from RNAcentral.